UGGAAUGUAGCUCAGUGGUUGAGUACAUGCCUAAUAUGCAUGAGAUCCUGGUUCGAUCCCAAGCACCACAC
Molecule: transfer RNA, 71 nt
Filed under: Heterocephalus glaber (naked mole-rat)
Lineage: Eukaryota; Metazoa; Chordata; Mammalia; Rodentia; Bathyergidae
Rfam family: tRNA
About the family: Transfer RNA (tRNA) molecules are approximately 80 nucleotides in length. Their secondary structure includes four short double-helical elements and three loops (D, anti-codon, and T loops).
Source: Rfam by way of RNAcentral